This is a long non-coding RNA of Salvelinus namaycush (lake trout), 2480 nucleotides long. RefSeq lists it as uncharacterized. Lineage: Eukaryota; Metazoa; Chordata; Actinopteri; Salmoniformes; Salmonidae. The record is from RefSeq and is a predicted model, not a curated record. The transcript is spliced from 4 exons.
GUUGCAACCUGACAGAAAAAUGCUGUGAAGCACUGGCCUCUUCUCUCAGCUCCUCUCAACUGAGAAAGCUGAACCUGAAUGAUAAUGAUCUGCAGGAUUCAGGAGUGAAGCUGCUCUCUGCUGGACUGAGGAGUCCACGCUGUAAACUGGAAGUUCUUACUUUGUUAUUAUGUGGAAUCACAGAGGAAGGCUGUGCUUCCUUGACCUCGGCUCCGAGGUCAAACCCCUCACACCUGAGAGAGCUAAAUCUGGACUACAGUCACAUAGGAGACUCGGGAGUGAAGAUUAUCUCUGCUGCACUGGAGCAUCCAGACUGUAAUGUAAAACUCAGUGUGAACAAUAAUGCAGAGCACUGGUUCAAAUCUGUCCUGAAGAAAUGUAGAUGCCUAUGAGCUGACACUGGACCCAAACACAACCCACAUACGCCUCUCCGUCUGAGGGGAACAGAACGGAGACGGGAGACAGAGGAAAAACCGUAUCCUGAUCACCCAGACAGAUUUCAAUGCUGGCCACAGGUUUUGUGUAGACAGAGGAGCAACCAUAUCCAGAUUAGUGUUGCUGUUAUCUAAUACAUGUAUGAUAUUGGCUACUGCACAUUACGCACGACAGACAAACAUAAAAGCCCAUAGAUGUAGCUAGCUAUAUGCUCUCUUAGGUAAAUAAAUGAAACUAGUGUGAACUGUAUUACUGUACUGUAUUAUACUGUAUUAUAUGGGCUGGAAUUACGCACAUUGUUCAAACCACGAUAAAGCGGAAGAGAACAUGCGAUUCUGCUGCAGCACAUGCAGCCUACAAAGUUACAAGUAUAGGCUAGUAAAUUUGAUUUACAUUUUGAAAUAUAAUAGGGCCUAUUUGUAUAAUUAGUAGGCUGACACAUUUAUACCUUUCAUAAUAUUUCCCCUAAUGUUAUUAGCCUUCCUCCUCUUUCUCUAUUGUUGCUUCGUUCCUUCCUCGCUUUCAACAGUUCAAUUAAAUACUUUUCGUUGUCCUUAUCUUCAUCAUUCUAAUGACAUCCUUGAAUAAUAUAAGACUAGAAUUAGAUGCAGAAUGCUUUCACUUCGCUUCACGAAGAUUGAAUGGUAAUGAGUCUGAAUAAAUAACUGAUAUAGCCUACCGCUAUCGCGCCCAUUUGCUCUUCUUUCAAACUAUCCAUGAGUUCUAUUGGCUGCUGUAUUUAGCAAUCAUAAACAUAUAAUGCCCAGCAAGGUAUUUUAGUCUAGUUUUUCCUGCGUGGGAUUGGAAGAGCUAAGGAGCGUUUUUUAAGGAGGCCAGCCGAGCACAGGUGUGUGCGUAUUGCACAAGAGACAAGGGCUGUACUAGAAGUUAGACUCUUACUAUGCAUAACCCAUUUUUAAUUAGCUAAAUAUAAGGCUAUUACUGCAUUGAAUGUAUUACCUGAAAGAGGUAGGCUAGGACAUCUAUAUAUAGGGCUAUAUAUCAAUCUGGAACAAGAUUAUCUAUUUUGGAUGCAAUUUGAAUGGAGUUGAUGGAGAGAGAACAAGACUGCGAGAGAGUGCUCGCGCGUGCACUGAUAUAAUGCAAUGAUGUUUGAGUGAUAGGCUGUUUUAAAACUGCAGCUGCAAUUGAAAAAAAGUAGAAUCUUUCAAAUUAAAAAACAAGGUGACCCCCGAAAGCCAGAUGGAGGCUGGAAUGUGAUAAAAAAAACGAGGCAUUGGUGUGGUUUAGGACCAUGUGGACACCUCCGAGCGGACAGGUAGGCUGUUUGGAGAGUCCUCUGGUAUGUGGACUUUAAAUAACAGAUUCACUGAGUCCCUCUACCCAGGGGGUUGGGUUGCUGUGGACUCCAUACAAGUGUCCUGUAACCUGGCAAAACACCAUAGUACUCAAGGGAUCUGUGAACAUUUGAAAUGUUUUUAAAAACAUUGCAACACCAAUUCAUGUCAUCUCCUCAAUUCAUCUGAUUAUAUUCCAAAAUCAUGUGAUACUAGUGAUGCAUCAUAUGACAGGUAUAAGAAAGGUGGGUUUUCUCACAGCUCCAAAAAAAGUUCUCCAACAUUGUUAUCCAAUAUAUCACAGUUCAGUUUCCUCUCAACACAUAAGUGUGCAUGCAGAAUCUAACAGCUAUAUAAUCACUCUGUCCAUCCUGAUCUUCUCUCCACUGGCACAGAGAAGAGCUCCCUCUCUGUCCUCAACAUGCUGAAACCCUCCAGUUUGUCAGAGAUCCCCUGCUACAGCCUAGGAGAGCAACCUCAGGCUGGGAAACAUACCAGUCCCACAGGCCUGGCAGAGCCUGAACAGAAUGAUAUACAACACUUUUACAUUCUUUAUUAUUGUAUUCAUUACAUUACUCUGAGGACUAUGUCCUGUCAUGUGAAUGAAAGAAAAUUACACCUGAAUCUGUGGGGAAGUUUUGUAAUCCAUACAUUUGUAACAGUGUAAAUGAUCUAUAAAAAUAUUAUAUUUAAGUCAUUUAGCAGACGCUCUUAUCCAGAGCGACUUACAUUGAACCUUUAUUUAAC